AUGCUUAGAAGAAUGUACCAAGGUGGUUCGUCGGUGAAGAAAGGGCCAAGGAUUGCUAUACGUGAGCAAGAUGUUGAAUUGCCGAGGGACGCGGAUGUACGAGCUUGUGAGUGGCCAUCUGAUGAUUUUAUGGUCAAAGCAGGCUUCAAGGAGGAAUUUGACGCGUAUGUGCGUAAUGCCGAGCUGGAGGACUUCUUACAAGAUAAGUGUCCUCAGUACUAUCAAUUGACUGAUUCCUUUGUUCGGAGGUUUGAAUAUAACUGUGCGCGUAAUUCUCCUAGUGUCAUGUUUGAUAUUUAUGAUACAUCUUAUACCAUGGAUUUAGAGGAUUUCACAACUGCUUGCAGACUCCUGUAG
This 357-nucleotide ribosomal RNA is filed under the name Triticum aestivum (bread wheat). Its description in RNAcentral is "partial small subunit ribosomal RNA". The record is from RNAcentral. Lineage: Eukaryota; Viridiplantae; Streptophyta; Magnoliopsida; Poales; Poaceae.